GUCUCAAUCACCAUAUCGCCAACAAGGUGUAUAUAUAAAAGGAACAAAGAUUUAAAAGGGAGCUGGAUCCUUGAUCCAUAAUCUGGUAUCAAAUUUCAUUCUCUACGAUCCUUACAUUUUUAAUCACAAUGACUAACAUAACCAAUGGAGACUCCACAUUGAAGACCCCUCCACCCAUAACCCUUUGUUCAUCUUGCAAGAGUUCAAGCAUCCCUACGCCAGCAGAGUCCAUUGCUUCCUCCCAUCAUCAAAGACAACUACUGCAUGUCCCUCUCCAAGUAAGCGAGAGCAAUCCCUGCAAUUUUUAUUGAGGUGUUGGAUCACUCAUUGUGGUGACUUUGGUCGCAUUCCCUAGCGAAUUGGAACCAAUAUACCAAAUUGCAGAAAUUAGCGGGUCCACUCCAUCGAGUCUGGUUAAUACGGUCUUGCUGUUGAAUUUAGACCAAAAAUUUUAAAAAGCUUUUUAAUUGUAAUUUUAACAUGUUAUUUUUUAG
RNAcentral lists this unclassified non-coding RNA (494 nucleotides) under Hevea brasiliensis (rubber tree). The record is from RNAcentral. Lineage: Eukaryota; Viridiplantae; Streptophyta; Magnoliopsida; Malpighiales; Euphorbiaceae.